GGGGCAGUGGCGUGGUAACAAAAGAGGAAAUACCACCUGUGCCCAGAACCCCCUUCCGUGAACUUCUGAGAUUAGGAGCAAACUCAGGGUCCGGGGACAGGGUGUAGGAAAGGGGCUCUGAGCCGCCUGUCUGCAAGCAAUAGUUCUCUUUGGGGCUGGUGGCUUCUGAGAAGAGACUCAGUGUGGACUGAGGUGACCAACAGUAAAUUGCCCUGACUGAUUCCAGCCAGAGGGAUUUGGGGCUGUGAGCUGUACCAUGGUCCAAACACUGACGUUUCCCCACCUCCACUCCCUCCAAUAGCGGCCCCCUUAGGCCUAUCCGUGUCGGGAUAUCGAACUUGAGUGUGUGCGAGCACAUGUGUGUGAUCAGGGUGUUUCUAUAUGUUCAGUCAGUUAGCUUUUAAUUGAGCCCCAUGGCCACUGCAGGCUCUCCGAUGAGUGCAAGUUGCCGUGUGGCUCAGGAGUCUUGCCCAUGUCCUUGUCUGUGGCUCAGGCCUCUUGCUUGGGCCAGCAACUGCGAGCUGGUGGAGUCCGGGCGGCAAAGGGCCCAGCCUUCCUGUGUCACAGGCAGUGGGGACUGGAGCAUACCAGUGACGGUCGGUUCUGGCGGGAUCUAUUCCCAUAGCAGCAGUAACGAGAAAGCAUCUUAACCGGCUUUGGGCAGCCUAGGUGGGAUGUGUGGUGUGUACAUCACAGCCCCUGGGAGGUGAGGGUGCUAAUGUCAUUGAAAACAGUGCAGCUUGGGGGAAGGGGUGCCACACUUAUAUGGCAGGAAGUGGUCAGCUCCAUAACUUGGCCCCAGGAUGACAGGAACCUGAGACUACGUCCUUGGGUUCCCAGGGUGUAUUAGGCUCCAUAACCCGGGUGCCCCAGGGUGGUCACUAGAGCACGUGUCCAACAUUUUCACAGCACCUCCAGCCCAGCUCCUCCCCCGCCUCACCCCCGAGCUCGCACUAGCCACAUGCCUGCUGUGC
This 974-nucleotide long non-coding RNA is filed under the name Rattus norvegicus (Norway rat). RNAcentral's name for it is "long non-coding RNA NONRATT026789". Lineage: Eukaryota; Metazoa; Chordata; Mammalia; Rodentia; Muridae. The record is from RNAcentral.